Molecule: ribosomal RNA, 235 nt
Filed under: uncultured bacterium
Lineage: Bacteria
Description: partial 16S ribosomal RNA
Rfam family: Bacterial small subunit ribosomal RNA
Source: RNAcentral
UGAGGAACAUGACCUUCGGCGGGGGAGUAGCCGGCCCAACGGCCGGGUAAUACCGCGUACGACCACAUGGGGACAUCCCUGAGUGGUGAAAGCAGCAAUGCGCCGAUGGAGUGCCUCGCGGCCUAUCAGCUAGUUGGUGAGGUAACGGCUCACCAAGGCGACGACGGGUAGCUGGUCUGAGAGGAUGGCCAGCCACAUUGGGACUGAGACACGGCCCAGACCUNUACCGGGGAGG